RNAcentral lists this ribosomal RNA (1462 nucleotides) under Phytoplasma sp. Its description in RNAcentral is "16S ribosomal RNA". It matches the Rfam family "Bacterial small subunit ribosomal RNA". The record is from RNAcentral. Lineage: Bacteria; Bacillati; Mycoplasmatota; Mollicutes; Acholeplasmatales; Acholeplasmataceae.
CUGGCGGCGUGCCUAAUACAUGCAAGUCGAACGGAAGUUUAAGCAAUUAAACUUUAGUGGCGAACGGGUGAGUAACGCGUAAGNAAUCUGCCCCUAAGACGAGGAUAACAGUUGGAAACGACUGCUAAGACUGGAUAGGAGACAAGAAGGCAUCUUCUUAUUUUUAAAAGACCUAGCAAUAGGUAUGCUUAGGGAGGAGCUUGCGUCACAUUAGUUAGUUGGUGGGGUAAAGGCCUACCAAGACUAUGAUGUGUAGCCGGGCUGAGAGGUUGAACGGCCACAUUGGGACUGAGACACGGCCCAAACUCUACGGGAGGCAGCAGUAGGGAAUUUUCGGCAAUGGAGGAAACUCUGACCGAGCAACGCCGCGUGAACGAUGAAGUAUUUCGGUAUGUAAAGUUCUUUUAUUAGGGAAGAAUAAAUGAUGGAAAAAUCAUUCUGACUGUACCUAAUGAAUAAGCCCCGGCUAACUAUGUGCCAGCAGCCGCGGUAAUACAUAGGGGGCAAGCGUUAUCCGGAAUUAUUGGGCGUAAAGGGUGCGUAGGCGGUUAAAUAAGUUUAUGGUCUAAGUGCAAUGCUCAACAUUGUGAUGCUAUAAAAACUGUUUAGCUAGAGUAAGAUAGAGGCAAGUGGAAUUCCAUGUGUAGUGGUAAAAUGCGUAAAUAUAUGGAGGAACACCAGUAGCGAAGGCGGCUUGCUGGGUCUUUACUGACGCUGAGGCACGAAAGCGUGGGGAGCAAACAGGAUUAGAUACCCUGGUAGUCCACGCUGUAAACGAUGAGUACUAAACGUUGGGUAAAACCAGUGUUGAAGUUAACACAUUAAGUACUCCGCCUGAGUAGUACGUACGCAAGUAUGAAACUUAAAGGAAUUGACGGGACUNCGCACAAGCGGUGGAUCAUGUUGUUUAAUUCGAAGGUACCCGAAAAACCUCACCAGGUCUUGACAUGCUUCUGCAAAGUUGUAGAAAUACAGUGGAGGUUAUCAGUUGCACAGGUGGUGCAUGGUUGUCGUCAGCUCGUGUCGUGAGAUGUUGGGUUAAGUCCCGCAACGAGCGCAACCCUUAUUGUUAGUUACCAGCACGUAAUGGUGGGGACUUUAGCAAGACUGCCAGUGAUAAAUUGGAGGAAGGUGGGGACGACGUCAAAUCAUCAUGCCCCUUAUGACCUGGGCUACAAACGUGAUACAAUGGCUGUUACAAAGGGUAGCUGAAACGCAAGUUUUUGGCGAAUCUCAAAAAAACAGUCUCAGUUCGGAUUGAAGUCUGCAACUCGACUUCAUGAAGUUGGAAUCGCUAGUAAUCGCGAAUCAGCAUGUCGCGGUGAAUACGUUCUCGGGGUUUGUACACACCGCCCGUCAAACCACGAAAGUUGGCAAUACCCAAACGCGGUGGCCUAACUUCGUAAGAAGAGGGAACCGUCUAAGGUAGGGUCGAUGAUUGGGGUUAAGUCGUAACAAGGUA